This 253-nucleotide ribosomal RNA is filed under the name uncultured bacterium. RNAcentral describes it as "partial 16S ribosomal RNA". It matches the Rfam family "Bacterial small subunit ribosomal RNA", at positions 524 to 776 of the family's 1533-position model. The record is from RNAcentral.
UACGUAGGGUGCAAGCGUUAAUCGGAAUUACUGGGCGUAAAGCGUACGCAGGCGGCUUUGCAAGACAGGUGUGAAAUCCCCGGGCCUAACCUGGGAACUGCAUUUGUGACUGCAUAGCUAGAGUCCGUCAGAGGGGGGUGGAAUUCCACGUGUAGCAGUGAAAUGCGUAGAGAUGUGGAGGAACACCGAUGGCGAAGGCAGCCCCCUGGGAUGAGACUGACGCUCAUGUACGAAAGCGUGGGGAGCAAACAGG